AGGAAUAUUGCUCAAUGGGAGAAAUCCUGAAGCAGCAACGCCGCGUGGAGGAUGAAGGGUCUAUGACUUGUAAACUCCUGUAAAGAAGGAAAAAAUUCCCAUUUGAUGGGAGAUGAUGGUACUUCUGGAGUAAGCCCCGGCUAACUACGUGCCAGCAGCCGCGGUAAUACGUAGGGGGCAGGCGUUGUCCGGAUUUACUGGGUGUAAAGGGUGCUCAGGCGGAUUUGUAAGUCAGAGGUGAAAUCUUACAGCUUAACUGUGAAACUGCCUUUGAUACUGCAAGCCUAGAGUAUGGAAGAGAGUGAUGGAAUAUCUGGUGUAGCAGUGAAAUGCGUAGAUAUCAGAUAGAACACCAAUGGCGAAGGCAGUCACUUGGUCCAUUACUGACGCUAAAGCACGAAAGCGUGGGUAGCAAACA
This 418-nucleotide ribosomal RNA is filed under the name uncultured bacterium. RNAcentral describes it as "bacterial SSU rRNA". It matches the Rfam family "Bacterial small subunit ribosomal RNA", at positions 357 to 774 of the family's 1533-position model. The record is from RNAcentral.